UACGGAGGGUGCGAGCGUUAUCCGGAAUCACUGGGUUUAAAGGGUGCGUAGGCGGUUUGAUAAGUCAGUUGUGAAAUUCCUCGGCUUAACCGAGUGGACUGCGAUUGAUACUGUCAGACUUGAAUCAGGUUGAGGUAGGCGGAAUGUGACAUGUAGCGGUAAAAUGCUUAGAUAUGUCAUAGAACACCGAUUGCGAAGGCAGCUUGCUGGGCUUAGAUUGACGCUGAGGCACGAAAGCGUGGGGAGCAAACAGG
This 254-nucleotide ribosomal RNA is filed under the name uncultured bacterium. RNAcentral describes it as "partial 16S ribosomal RNA". It matches the Rfam family "Bacterial small subunit ribosomal RNA", at positions 524 to 776 of the family's 1533-position model. The record is from RNAcentral.